UUAUUAAAAUGGUUGGAUCUACAAGUAGGAUCCCACUGAAUAUUUCAUCUACCACCUCCAAAGAAGCGGAGAUCACAGAGGGAAAGCAUUCUAAAAGACUUAGUCUUGAUUUCAGGAGCUCAGUUUAACAGAAGGCAUGGAGAGACAAAGGACUAAGAAGAUUUGACAGAAGGAUCAAAGGAGCAUCUGUGCCAUAAGGGACCUGAGCCAAUCUAUUUUGGAGAAACAUUCCGAGGGAAAGACCCCACACGUUAUGGAAGAAAAGCAACAGACAGAAGAUAGGAAAAACAGGUCAUGUUUAUGAAACCAGCUUGAAGACUAUGCCACACUGAGGAGUUUGGUUUUUCAUUAGGCAAAGAAACGAGCUGUUUUUUCUUCAAUGUUCAUCGGAAAACUUGCCCAGCAGCUGUGAGUGACUCUUCAGCUUUCGAAUCAUUGUCUUGGAAUCUUCUAAACCAGCAAGACCAUACUCAUUUUAUUUUAACAUAGAAUUUAGGAGCAAAGGACUAGACAGUCCUCAAAGUAAUAAAAUAAAAGAAAGAAAAAUCAAAUUAGAAACAAAGAAUGCCCCUUUCCCAACCAAUUCCUUUGGUUUAACCUU
Molecule: non-coding RNA, 601 nt
Organism: Macaca mulatta (Rhesus monkey)
Lineage: Eukaryota; Metazoa; Chordata; Mammalia; Primates; Cercopithecidae
Source: RefSeq, a predicted model, not a curated record